UCCAGGACAGCUAGGACUUUUACCUGUCUCCAAAAAUUUAAAAAAAAAAAAAAAAUUUACCCUGUCUCCAAAAUUUUUAAAAAAAAAAAUUUAAAUGUGAAAGUUUGUCUCUAGGAGGCUCCCUCAUCUGUUAGUGUUGAUGCUUUUCAGGAGAAAAAAAAAAAAAAACAAAGGAAAAAUUGAAAACAUCUACAAGGAGCUUCUUACUGAAGAUUUUAGAUAAUAAUGUGGGUUUUUUUUCCCUCACAUACUGAUGACAGGCAAAUGUUUACAUAGACUUAUACAUUGCUCUAAAUGUUAAAACAGAAAUCUUAAUAGUCUAGGAAAAGAACUUCAGAAAAUGGAUAGUACUGUCCUCUAAAAUCAAGAUUAGGUUUAUCUGUGAGAGAAAAGUGACAGAUUUGUUCCCAUGAAUAUUUUCCUUGAAACUAGUGCUUACUUAAAGUCCAUGUUCCUGAUACUAUUCCAGUGAUAAUCAAACUCUUCUUUAAAUGCAUGGAACAAGCUACUUGUCACAAAAUAUAAUGAUGCCCCUAAUAAUGACUGGUAUUUCAUGUCCAAAAAUAGAAAUUGAGAAAACAACUGAAAUGCUGAACUUAUGGCUAGGGAGCUAGGGGUUUUAACUUAUUUUCCUUAAUCUCUUCAACUAGUUAGUAUAGCAAAUUUUCCUAAUUCAGAGAAUUGAGAAAGAUGACACUCAGAGAAAAAAAAAGACUUCAAAAUUUACAGAGCUUGUUAAAAAUUAAGCUUAGACCUGCUGUCUUCUGUAGAUCUGGCCCCAGUACCAGCUUUGAAAGAGUUUGUAAGAUUGUGUUAAUUUACAGAUUUCUUUAAUGAGAGGAAAGGGAAAAAAUUAACAAGAGUUAGUCACCUAGAAAACAAGAAGUAGACUAGGGUUAGAAAGGUCCUGAACACAGGCAACUCCAGUCACAGGUAAAAUGUAUUUACAUUUUCAUUUUAACGACAUUGCUUCCAAGAUUUACAGCACAAUUCGCUAAUAUCUGUCAUGCUAGCAAUUCCAACUUCAGCAUGCUGUACAAAAUGACCACUUGGUGCUGAUGUGGAGGAGGGGACGGUACUCCGACAGAGAACAGAAGCCACUGGAAGAUUAUGUCAAAGCAAGUAAAGAAAGUUCUAGAAGCUGAAGUGUAUUGUAAGCUGCUGCCGAAUGUGGAGUUUGAUGAGAUGUCCUUCCCGGACUGCAGAAGCCAAACUUCUUGAAGUAUUCCCCAUACAACAGAGAGAAGGGAGAAGCAGAGCAAUCUCUUGACUCUUUUCCUGCUAAGGACACUAAUCGCCUUAAUAAAGGUUGAUCUCUCAUGAUACAAUUACCUAAUUAUGGAUUAUCUCAUACCAGCUUAUGUUAGCCAGGCUUCCUGCCCAAUUCCCUACAUCAAAACCUCAGUUGCUCACAACACAAUGAAUGCUUUUUGUUUGUUUGUUUGUUUGUUUUACUUGCUCUAUAGUUCUAAAACUAUGGUUUCUUCUGCUACGUUUGGUGCCAUGUGUCUUCUCGCUCUGGACUUUACCUAGAGAAGAACACUUCACACAAUGUUCAUCUCUUGCCUUAACAAGAAGGAAGAGCAAGAACUCAAACUGAAUCACGCAAUAAGCACUUGAUGCUCUUACAGGUUAGCCAGGUUCAGGUCCUGGCACCUACACUUUGGCUAACCAAGUGUAAGUCCAAUUCUGAUGUUUUGUUCUGGCCUCUGUCAGUAGUGCAUGCAUGCAGAAAACAGACACAUGUAGGCAAUCACCCAGACACAGUGAACAAACAAAUAAACAAAUAAAUAAUAUCUAGAAAAUAAAGUGUGUGACAGCCAUGCUUUCACUUUGUAUAAAGAACAUUCAAGACAUUUUGACACCCCCCAAUCUUUGUUCUUUGGAAAUGAGAAUAUUAUAUGUAUUUCUAUAAAUCCUGGGAUUUCUGUGCUAAGUUUUUCAUUUCUUCUUUCAAACGAAUAAAUUUUGGAAAUACA
This is a non-coding RNA of Peromyscus maniculatus bairdii (prairie deer mouse), 1979 nucleotides long. NCBI's taxonomy places the organism in Eukaryota, Metazoa, Chordata, Mammalia, Rodentia, Cricetidae. The record is from RefSeq and is a predicted model, not a curated record.